Molecule: long non-coding RNA, 2485 nt
Filed under: Mus musculus (house mouse)
Lineage: Eukaryota; Metazoa; Chordata; Mammalia; Rodentia; Muridae
Description: long non-coding RNA chr6:93241719-93244204
Source: RNAcentral
GAAGACUAGACAGAAAGAGGCAGAGAAAGAAAGAAGAAGGGUUUAGAUUCACCUCUGCUCUAUUAUUCCUCUGGCUUGGGAAGUCACUGUUACUGUCUAUCAUUUCGUCAUUUGUCCAACACAGCACGGUCAGUAAGGAGCAGAUGGUUCACUGCCUGCACUCUUGUGUCUUGGUCUAAAGGGUUCUAAUGUGUGCAUUUUCUACCAUGGCCUCGAAAAAUGCUCUAGUAUGGUUUGGUUUUGCUUUUUUUUUUUUUUUUUUUCUUCCAAAAACCUUUCUUUCCUCUCUGUCCUACGUAACAUGAGAAUUUCCAGAGUCUCACCCCACACUUUCUGCUCCUUGAUACCCCAGUCUUCUUCCUGGGUGGUCUUCCCCUUCUCCUGCUCCUAUUUCAAAGUCCCUUUUGUCUGAUAUUAAUGCAGCCUCUUAGGGUUGCUGUUUGCGUGGCUCCUCUUUUCCCUUCUUCCUGCUUUCAGCCUACAAGAAUCUUUGUCUCUAAAGUGUGUUUUCUUUAUGCAGCAUAUAGUUGGGUCUUGUUUCAUGUUUUAAUACAGUCUGAUAAUUCCUGCCAUUUGACUAGAUCAGGUAAUUAUUCAUAAUUAAGGUUCAAUUUACUUCUGCCUCUUUGCUUUUGACUUUCCAUGCCUCAAAUGUUGUUCAUGGAUUUUUAUCCUUCUUUUGCUGCCUCCCUUUAUAAGAACUAGAUAUUUUAUAGUAUAGCAUUUUCAUUUCUUUGAUUUUAAAAGUAUAUUUUUAUGACUUCUUUGAGUAUGUUAUACAUAAAUACAAUAUUUUUAAAAUCAUAUUUACUCCUACUUCUUCCUCUAACUCUUCCUGAAUCUAUUCUCACUCUCCAUCCCCUCACAACUUUAAGUCUUUCUUUUUUAAAAUACCAGAGAGUCCAGUUUAUACUGUGUAGAGUCCUGCAUUAAUGCAUGGUUGAUAUAGUUGGGGCCACACCCUUAUAGAAUAUGGACUCCUCCUUCCCCAGAAGCCACCAACUGUCAAUAGCUGCUCAUGGAGGGGUGGGAACUUAUGACACCCUUCCUCUCAUGCUGGAAUGUUGACUGGCUUGAUCUUGUGCUGGUCUUGUGCAGACAACCACAGCUUCUGAGAGAUUGUGAGUGCACUGGUCUUGUCAUAUCCAGAAGACAUUGCUUCCCUCCAGUCCUCCCCAACCUCUUGCCCUUACAAUCCAUCUGCUCCCUCUUUCAAAAUGCUCCCGAGCUUUGGAGGAAUGGGUGUGAUACGGUGUCCCACGUAAUGACUGAACAUGCCACGGAUUCUUGUUCUCUGCACUUUUACUGAUUGUGAGUUUCUGUAUUAAUUGAUAUUUAGUGCAUAAAGAAACUCCUCCUAUGGAAUGUAGUAGCUGCACUAAUCUAGGGGUAUAGAAAUAUCAGUUCACUACAGAGUCCAUCUAGAAAAAUAUUAAGUUCACCCAUGGAGCUUGUGAGAUCCUCAAACAUAGGUUCUGGUCAGAUGUGUAAUAUCAGACAUGAAUUUCCUCUUUUAAGGAAGUCCUUAAAUCCAAUCAGAAAGCAGCUGGUUGAUGCCAUGAUAUUUGUGUCACUAUUGUACCCAUCAACAUAGCUUGUCACACUGCUGUUACUAUAGUAGUUUACAGUUGAGUAAGACUAUUGUCCCAGCAGCCUGCAGUGCAUAGCUCCUUCCAGGAGAGAUCUCCACAGCAGAGAGAAAGCUUCCUGGUUAAUACCAACUUCAUUUCUUCAUGUCCUGUGACCAAAUAACAUUGUUUCUUCAGCAAUAGGGUCUUAAUAUCAAGUUCCAGUAGGCAACAAAGAGGAAUGCCAAUGACCUAUUAUGUUUGGGGAUUUCCCCCAAGACACCCCUGACAUCACCUGGCACUCUCUCCAUAUUUUGUAAUCUUAAACCUUUAUAUAUUGCCAUUUAUAUGUUACAAACCUCAUAUGAAUUCUAGUUAUUACUUUACAUAUUGUACAUAUUAUAUAGGAUCUAGACUCACAUAAGUUCAUGUUUACAAGGUAUUAGAUUGACCUUCCCAUUCACCGAGUGUGAUUUGCUCCAGUCUCUCCUGAAGAUUUCACUUGCUGUCUGGUAUCUUUACUUAACCUGAGAGUUGCGCCAUUUUUAUUCGUGUUCUUUAUGCUCCUCUUUUCAAAUGUAUGACAUUUAAGCAUCCUGUAAACCCAAUAGCGUGUGUACAUAUGCAUUGUUUUAUUAUGCUGUUCUUAUCAGGAGUACAUACCCAAUACUGUUGUCUUUAUCAUGUUUUAACUGAGGUGAAAUGCGUAUAAUGCUAGACUUAUUAAAGUGGAGAAUUCCAUGGCUUUUAUUGUACUCAUCAUGUUGUACAACCCUCACAUUCUUUAGUUUCUUUGGUUUGAAUUUCUUAUGGCCUCAGGGAUAUUCCACACACCCUCUUCCUCUUCCCUUUGCAAACACAGUCUUUCAGCCUCAAUGAUGUAUCUAUUCUAGAUGAGUUAAAUAAAAAGUCAUGCA